UAGUACUGGGUGGAUAUUUUAUUGCACCAAUUUAGGCUUCUCCCCAGAGAUUUCUUAAAACAGAAAGGCAGUUGUAAUACCAAGUAUUGCUGUAUCAGGCCACCUGCUACUCCAAAGCCAUGAAUUAACUUGUUCUAAGCCCUCAAGGAAAGAAAAGAGGAAACAGAGGUUUAUUCCCUAUCAAGACAGUCCACUUGAGAAAGUUCUGUCUUGGUUGUAACUUCAGGUUUCUUUCUUACACAGGCAUUUUAUUAAUGCUUUUACGAGUUAGAAGAGUUGGGAUAAUUUGCCAUCUGGAGUUUCUCUGCCUUGCUGAUCUGAGCUCAGACCUGCCAAUUUACCAGAGAUAAUUGAUAACACCCUGUAACAGCUGAGAGGAAAAUGGAAGAAACGGAGAUACUUUUAGUGAAGCAGAAUAAACCACUGAACAGGAAAAAUGAGGAAGCUGUGAGUACCAGUGGAAGGAACGAGCCAGGAAGAGGGACUGGAACCAUCUCAGAAGCCAUGCCCCUCAGGCUGGAACUUGCCCUGUCUCCUCGCAGAUGAGGUAGGAGGCUCAGCACGGGCUGGUGGGAGCAGCCCACAGCAGCAGUGAGGGUCAGUGGGCCUGUGAGUUAAGAAGAAGGUGGCACAGAGCGAGGGUCUCUGGAUCCUGACUGUUUGACUUUUCCAUGAUUAGGAUAAGUAGCCAGGGCUUGGCUAGUUGGAGAGUUACUCGAACCUCAGGUGACAGUUGUAAGGCAGCACAUAGUGAAAAAGAGUCCUAGCCUGGGAAAGUCCAAAACCUUAGGUCUGGUUUCAGUUCACUCACCUAU
RNAcentral lists this long non-coding RNA (815 nucleotides) under Homo sapiens (human). Its description in RNAcentral is "non-protein coding LINC-PINT:21". The record is from RNAcentral. Lineage: Eukaryota; Metazoa; Chordata; Mammalia; Primates; Hominidae.